UGUUAUAGGGACCAUCUGGUAGUGUGGGACCUAGAGUCUGGGUAUAUCAAAGGGAGGAUCAAAGUGUCCAGCAGCAUCGUCAGAGACAGGCAUUCCCGGAUACCACCAUCAUUAAGGAGACCACAGGUAACCACAGUUCAGGUGAUGCCCUGGGAAGGAAUGACAGAGAGACACUCUGCUAAGAAGAGGAGGACGAAAAGGGAGGCGCAAAGGGAGCAGAGUAGGUUGGACAGGGAGACAUACUACUCCAUAGACCAAUACCUCCUCGGUGGGGACCAACAGCGUGAAGUCCCAGGAACACCUCCAUAUCCUGGUGGCCAGAACGUCCUUGCUGACCCGCCACAUCAUCGCCCUCACUCGCCCUGGGGGACAUCUGGUCCUGGCCAACUACAGCCAGGCUCAACAUACACCCUACCUCACCCUCUGGGACCUGCAGA
Oncorhynchus tshawytscha (Chinook salmon) is the source of this 437-nucleotide long non-coding RNA. RefSeq lists it as uncharacterized. Lineage: Eukaryota; Metazoa; Chordata; Actinopteri; Salmoniformes; Salmonidae. The record is from RefSeq and is a predicted model, not a curated record. The transcript has 3 exons.